This 34-nucleotide transfer RNA is filed under the name Wittmackia penduliflora. RNAcentral's name for it is "partial tRNA-Phe". RNAcentral also lists the same sequence under 1 other name. Lineage: Eukaryota; Viridiplantae; Streptophyta; Magnoliopsida; Poales; Bromeliaceae. The record is from RNAcentral.
GUCGGGAUAGCUCAGUUGGGAGAGCAGAGGACUG